AGAGAGAGACAUGCGCGCAUAUCAAUAAGCGGAGGAAAAGAAACUAACAAGGAUUCCCUUAGUAACGGCGAGUGAAGCGGGAAGAGCUCAAAUUUGAAAUCUUCAAGGUUCUACCUUGACGAAUUGUAGUUUAUAGAAGUGUUUUCUGUUAGUGGAGUGGCAAAAGUUCUUUGGAAUAGGACAUCAUAGAGGGUGAGAAUCCCGUAUUUGGUCAUUCCUCCUAGCGUUGUGAUACACUUUCAACGAGUCGGAUUGUUUGGGAAUGCAGUCCAAAAUGGGUGGUAAAUUUCAUCUAAAGCUAAAUAUUGGCGAGAGACCGAUAGCGAACAAGUACCGUGAGGGAAAGAUGAAAAGAACUUUGAAAAGAGAGUUAAACAGUACGUGAAAUUGUCAAAAGGGAAGCGUUUGACACCAGUGUUGUUUUUCCGAAAAUCAAUUACGAAUGUUUUGUUUUUGAGGAGUUAUGACUUCAUCGGCUUGCUCCUUUCUUUAUGAAACUUUCUUAAUGCACUUUUCGGUUAACAAGUCAACAUCAAUUUCUUUUGUUGUAAAAGGGUAUGAGGAAGGUGGCUUUCUUUUCGGAGAAAGUGUUUAUAGCCUUGUGCCUCUGCAAUCGGAGAGAUUGAGGUCUGCAGCGUAGAUCCUUCGGGGUUAGAUACAUUUGUGCUAAGUUAUAGCUUUUCAUAGACAACUUGUUGACUAUGCUCAGUCAUGUAGCUUACUCGCUUAUGCUAUUUUACCUACGCUUAGGAUGUUGAUAGUCACAGCGUGUAC
RNAcentral lists this ribosomal RNA (774 nucleotides) under uncultured Neocallimastigales. Its description in RNAcentral is "partial large subunit ribosomal RNA". It matches the Rfam family "Eukaryotic large subunit ribosomal RNA", at positions 23 to 644 of the family's 3401-position model. The record is from RNAcentral. Lineage: Eukaryota; Fungi; Neocallimastigomycota; Neocallimastigomycetes; Neocallimastigales.